GACGAACGCUGGCGGCGUGCUUAACACAUGCAAGUCGAACGGAAAGUCCCUGCUUUUGUGGGGUCCGCUAGUUGCGAACGGGUGAGUAACACGUGAGUAACCUGCCCUUGACUGUGGGGUAACUUCAUGAAACUGGGGCUAAUACCGCCUAGGAGUUCCUGCUGCAUGGUGGGGGUGGGUAAGUUUAGGUGGUUGGGGAUGGAAUCGCGGCUUAUCAGCUUGUUGGUGGGGUAGUGGAUUACCAAGGCUUGGACCGGUGGCCGGGCUGAGAGGGUAACCGGCCACACUGGACCUGAGAUGCGACACAGCCUAGUACGGGACGCAGGGGUGGGGAAUAUUGCAUAAUGGGAUGAAGCCUGAUGCAGCAACGCAGCGUGGGGGAAGACGGCAUUGGGGUUGUAAUCCGAUUUCGCUUGUGACGAAACGUGAGUGACGGUACUGGGUAAAGAAGCACCGGCUAACUACGUG
This 468-nucleotide ribosomal RNA is filed under the name uncultured bacterium. RNAcentral describes it as "partial 16S ribosomal RNA". It matches the Rfam family "Bacterial small subunit ribosomal RNA", at positions 28 to 507 of the family's 1533-position model. The record is from RNAcentral.